AACGUAGGAGGCAAGCGUUAUCCGGAGUUACUGGGCGUAAAGAGUGCGUAGGCGGAUGAGUAAGUGGGUGGUGAAAGCGCCCGGCUAAACCGGGCGAGGUCCAUUCAGACUGCUUGUCUAGGGGCGGAUAGAGGGGUGCGGAAUUCCGGGUGUAGCGGUGAAAUGUGUAGAUAUCGGAAGGAACGCCGGUGGCGAAAGCGACGUGCUGGACCUCAACUGACACUGAGGCGCGAAAGCUAGGGGAGCAACGGG
RNAcentral lists this ribosomal RNA (252 nucleotides) under uncultured bacterium. Its description in RNAcentral is "partial 16S ribosomal RNA". It matches the Rfam family "Bacterial small subunit ribosomal RNA", at positions 524 to 775 of the family's 1533-position model. The record is from RNAcentral.